This 207-nucleotide ribosomal RNA is filed under the name uncultured bacterium. RNAcentral describes it as "partial 16S ribosomal RNA". It matches the Rfam family "Bacterial small subunit ribosomal RNA", at positions 568 to 774 of the family's 1533-position model. The record is from RNAcentral.
CUCGUAGGCGGGACGGCAAGUCAGGCGUGAAAUCUUUCGGCUUAACCGGAAGCGUGCGCUUGAAACUGCGGUUCUUGAGUCACAGAGAGGAAGAUGGAAUUCCUGGUGUAGCGGUGGAAUGCGUAGAUAUCAGGAAGAACACCCAUAGCGAAGGCAAUCUUCUGGCUGUGUACUGACGCUGAGGAGCGAAAGCGUGGGGAGCGAACA